UACGUAGGGGGCUAGCGUUGUCCGGAAUCAUUGGGCGUAAAGAGCGUGUAGGCGGCCCGGUAAGUCCGCUGUAAAAGUCAAAGGCUCAACCUUUGAAUGUCAGUGGAUACUGCCGGGCUAGAGUCCGGAAGAGGCGAGUGGAACUCCUGGUGUAGCGGUGGAAUGCGCAGAUAUCAGGAAGAACACCCGUGGCGAAGGCGGCUCUCUGGGACGGUACCGACGCUGAGACGCGAAAGCGUGGGGAGCGAACAGG
This 253-nucleotide ribosomal RNA is filed under the name uncultured bacterium. RNAcentral's name for it is "partial 16S ribosomal RNA". It matches the Rfam family "Bacterial small subunit ribosomal RNA", at positions 524 to 776 of the family's 1533-position model. The record is from RNAcentral.